GUAACCUUCCCACUUCUCUUCCUCCCUAUCUUUCACGUGGUAUCUCUCCCUUUCCAUCUCUGCACCGAUGAUUUAUUUUCUAAUCUCUCAUCAAUCGGCAACGAUGACCAGCACGCGUUGACGGGACAGUUUCAACCAACUUUCGCGUACGAGCAUUGAAGGAAUGAAGUUCCGAUGUUGGGAUUGGGGUUCUAAUUUGAGGAAUUUUGUGUGCUCUUGAUGCCUAUCUACAGAUUGUUGGUGCGUUUGGGGGGUUAGGGUUUCGAACUGGGGAUUUGGAUUUCUAAUUCUCGCUUUCGGAUUCCCCGUGGUGGUUGCGUGGGUUAUAGACCAGCGGCGACAGACCAGCUGUUUGUGGAAGAAGUUACGAACCUUGUUGAGCUACAUCCAGUGAGAAUUUCAGUAAACUACAAUCAUGCUCUCUGACCCUGUUCACUAUAAGGGAAAGCAUACUUAUAUGUGCCUGUGACCAGAAAAGGAUAUUGACAGGAUAUUGUGCCGGUGGGCGUUCAGCCAUUGCAGACUUAGGGACUUCGCUACUGGCUGGUCCAAUGGCUGUAAUAACUAUUAUAAACCAUGCAAUUGGAGCAGCUGAAGUUAUGAGCCAAGAAUGCAAGACCGUUGUUGCAGAGUAUGGACAAACGAUAUUGAAUUUGCUGAAGCGUAGCCGAAGAAGAUAUGUUCUCAAAUUGGAUUGUGCACCUUUGAUGGGACUCGUGGUGUUGACCGCUUCACCUUAGUAUGUACAUUGAGAGCAUUGUGGAUGAGAAUGCAAGAAAAUCAUCUGGUGGUCUUCAUGAUGUUGCUUGUUCUGCGUGUGAGAUGGCGGUUGUUUGGAUGCAGAACCAACUCAGCCGAAAUCAAACACUGGAUCAGAUACUAAACUCCGUAAAUCAGCUUUGCGAUAAAAUGCCAAGCCCAAUGGGAGACUCUUCUGUUGGAUGCGGGGAUAUCUCUUCAUUACUGUAGUGUCUAUUACUGUAGUGUCUUUUACUAUUGUUGGAAGAAUUUUUGACCUUCGCCCAGAGGAGAUAAGAUUUCCUCAGGCUAAAACCUGAUUUGUUGCUUUAAUGCACCGAAUUUUAUUAUAAUGAAAACAAGAUAAAUUCAGAGCA
This is a long non-coding RNA of Vigna radiata var. radiata (mung bean), 1115 nucleotides long. RefSeq lists it as uncharacterized. The record is from RefSeq and is a predicted model, not a curated record. The transcript is spliced from 6 exons. NCBI's taxonomy places the organism in Eukaryota, Viridiplantae, Streptophyta, Magnoliopsida, Fabales, Fabaceae.